AGCAUUCCCUUGAACACCCACCCUUCCUGGACUCCCAUCUUACUAAUGCUCUUGCCCUUCAGUGCCUCACUUAAUAAUCUCCUGAGCACAUUGAAAUUAGCCUUUUUUGAAGUCUAGCACUUCUGCCCUACUAGUUACCUUUCCUACCUUUCGCCAGAUAGUGAAUUCUAACAAUUGGUGAUCGCUAUCCCCUAGGUUACCCUGUAUCUGCAGAUCACCCACCCCUGUAGCAAGCACUAAGUCCAGUAAGGCAUUUGCCCUAGUGGGACCACACAUCUCUUGCAUUAGGUGAAGGUCCUGUAUGCUGGUUAGGAAUCGAUGUGAAUGGACAGAUCUAGCUGACUGCUCCUCCCAGCAGAUGUCAGGGUAGUUUAGGUCACCCAUGACAACCAUGUCCCUUGAGUGUACCGCCUUUGACAGCUGCCUCAAAUUCCAUGUCUAGCUCAUCAUCCUGGUGUGACAGUCUUCAAGAGACCCCUACUACCAAGUCCCUUUCACCCCGACCUCAUUGUAUUCUGACCCACAAUGCCUCAAUUUGCCCCUCUUCUGAUCCCAUCUUGAUUAUUGAAGAUGUGUAUUGCUCCUUAACAUAGAGAGCAAUGCUCCCUCACCUUUUCCCUACUGUAUCUCAUCUGCACAGCCUAUAUCCCUCAGUGCCUACUGCCCAAUCAUAGAUAGGGUCCCACCAGGUUUCUGUUAACUCAACCAGGUCAAAGUCUUUGUUUGCAAGCCUUCUGCUUGUUCUCCAUGCUCCUAGCAUUAGAAUAGAGACACCGAAUCCCCAUGAUGGAUACCUGUCCAACUAAUAGUGCCUCCAUUCCCCAGUGUAGAUGUGAGAGUCAAGUGCUCACAUUCUUGUGUUAUUCCUUGUCUUUCUCCUAGGACUCUGUUUGUGGCUUCCAGGGAGGGUCAGUGGCCUCCCCUCUUCGCGAUGAUCCACAUUCGAAGACACACCCCUCUUCCAGCUGUUAUGUUAAUGUUCCCUCUGGUUACUGCUAUGGUGUGUGUUGGAGAUAUCUACCACCUGCUGAAUUUCUUCAGCUUUUCCCGAUGACUCUUCAUAGGGCUAGCCACACUUGGGCUCAUCGUCCAUCGCUACCGUCACCCCGAGCUGCCCAGGCCCUUCAAGGUUCCCCUCUUUGUUCCAGUCUCCUUCACCACCAUCUGCCUCUUCACAGUGGGAAUGUCUUUCUACUCGGACCCUGUCAGUAUCAGCAUUGGUUGUGCCAUGGUUUUGAGUGGUUUUCCAGUCUACUAUUUGGUGGUCUGCAGGCCAAUGCCAAAGUGUUGCCAUGACCUGUUCUAUCAUCUGACAUUCAAACUUCAGGUGCUGCUGGAAGUCAUCAAACAGGAAAUCAGAACUUACUGAGAAGAACAACCUGCCUUGUUGGAGAUGGUAUACACUACAGUGGGUUGUUCAGUAGAACUUGCAAGUCCCAAUUCUCAAACUUUAGAUUUAAGCGGAGGCAUUCUUAAUGUUUUAGUUGCUGAAGUACAACUAGGUGAUCUUCAGUUAAAGGAGCACCAAAACUUGGUUACUGGCCUCUAGACCUCAUUCCUUUAAGACCGUUGGUGCUGCAGAACAAGCAGGAAUAAAUACUAGAAUCUUUUGUCACUUAAACUAGGAAGGUGACUUGGAGGGUCUGAGUAGGAAGAUGUGAUUUUUAUAUAGCUGCUUUGCAGAGAAGAACUGCAUUUUAAACUAACCUUGAACUGAAGUUUUUGAGUCAAGACCUGGUCUUUGAAGAAACAGUGAGAAUGGUGGAGCACUUGAGAAUAUAUUUUAAAUGCAAGCUCACUUCUAGGCUUUGAAUGAGGGCCUACGUACACAUUUUAAGUAUUUCCUCUUACUAGUAUUUAGCAAUUUUGAGCAAAAUGAAUGUACCACUUGCAGAACAAUGUAUUCCACUCAAACCCUAGGAAAUGUAUUAGCAAGACUAUUAAAUAAAGAAAAGUU
This is a long non-coding RNA of Alligator mississippiensis (American alligator), 1957 nucleotides long. RefSeq lists it as uncharacterized. Lineage: Eukaryota; Metazoa; Chordata; Crocodylia; Alligatoridae. The record is from RefSeq and is a predicted model, not a curated record. The transcript is spliced from 4 exons.